CCGCUUUUAGUCAAUCCCGAAUCAAUCUGACCUUAUCCUUAGUCUCAGAAAUCAAUUUAGGACCCAAAACACGUCAUUCACCCAACUCAGUCCAACAUAAGGGAGUGCGACACUUACGACCAUAUAGUGCCUCGUAAUGGCAGAUAGUCCUCCCAACUUCCUUAAAAAUCAAUAACACAGCUCCUCAACAUGUCCUCCAGUAUCUGAAUCAUCCUCUCAGACUGUCCAUCAAUUUGAGGAUGGAACGCAGUACUGAAGUCCAACCUUGAACCCAGAGCUCAUGCAACUUCCUCCAAAACCGAGACAUGAAGCAAGGAUCCCUAUCAGAGAUGAUCAAAAC
This 340-nucleotide long non-coding RNA is filed under the name Gossypium barbadense (sea-island cotton). Its description in RNAcentral is "long non-coding RNA (GBAR_LNC004578)". Lineage: Eukaryota; Viridiplantae; Streptophyta; Magnoliopsida; Malvales; Malvaceae. The record is from RNAcentral.